CCUCAGUAACUGCGAGUGAAGUGGCAAAAGCUCAAAUUUGAAAUCCGGUACCUUUGGUGCCUGACUUGUAAUUUGGAGAGACAAAUUUGGUCGACAGCGCCGGCCUAGGUUCCUUUGAACAGGACAACACAGAGGGUGAGAAUCCCGUGCAUGGUCUGAAUCGCUGUCGAAUUGCUAAAUUGUCUUCGACGAGUCGAGUUGUUUGGGAAUGCAGCUCAAAAUGGGUGGUAAAUGUCAUCUAAAGCUAAAUAUUGGCGAGAGACCGAUAGCGCACAAGUAGAGUGAUCGAAAGAUGAAAAGCACUUUGAAAAGAGAGUCAAAAAGUACGUGAAAUUGCUGAAAGGGAAGCGCUUGAGACCAGACUCGAACCGCGGUGAUCAGCCGCGCUUCUGUGCGGAGUCACUUGCCGUGGUUCGGGCCAGCAUCGGUUCCGGCGGUCGGAUAAAAGGUGGAGGAAUGUAGCUUCCUCCGGGGAGUGUUAAUUUAGCCACCACCACAAUGCGGCCAGCUGGGACCGAGGAUCGCGCUGUACUUCUCGUUCAGCUAGGAUGCUGGCGUAAUGGUCUUAAGCGACCCGUCUUGAAACACGGACCAAGGAGUCUAACAUCUAUGCGAGUGUUCGGGUGGAAAACCCUUGCGCGAAAYGAAAGUGAACGGAGGUGGGAACCCGCAAGGGUGCACCAUCGACCGAUCCCGAAGUCUUCGGAAGGAUUUGAGUAGGAGCACAGAUGUUGGGACCCGAAAGAUGGUGAACUAUGCCUGAAUAGGGUGAAGCCAGAGGAAACUCUGG
RNAcentral lists this ribosomal RNA (790 nucleotides) under Genea harknessii. RNAcentral's name for it is "eukaryotic LSU rRNA". It matches the Rfam family "Eukaryotic large subunit ribosomal RNA", at positions 78 to 867 of the family's 3401-position model. Lineage: Eukaryota; Fungi; Ascomycota; Pezizomycetes; Pezizales; Pyronemataceae. The record is from RNAcentral.